RNAcentral lists this ribosomal RNA (469 nucleotides) under uncultured bacterium. RNAcentral's name for it is "partial 16S ribosomal RNA". It matches the Rfam family "Bacterial small subunit ribosomal RNA", at positions 28 to 507 of the family's 1533-position model. The record is from RNAcentral.
GACGAACGCUGGCGGCGUGCUUAACACAUGCAAGUCGAACGGUGAAGCGAGUGCUUGCACUCGUGGAUCAGUGGCGAACGGGUGAGUAACACGUGAGUAACCUGCCCAUCACUCUGGGAUAAGCACUGGAAACGGUGUCUAAUACGGGAUACGACCAACCCUUGUAUGGGGUGUUGGUGGAAAUGUUUAUCGGUGAUGGAUGGACUCGCGGCCUAUCAGCUUGUUGGCGGGGUAAUGGCCCACCAAGGCGACGACGGGUAGCCGGCCUGAGAGGGUGACCGGCCACACUGGGACUGAGACACGGCCCAGACUCCUACGGGAGGCAGCAGUGGGGAAUAUUGCACAAUGGGCGAAAGCCUGAUGCAGCGACGCCGCGUGAGGGAUGACGGCCUUCGGGUUGUAAACCUCUUUCAGCAGGGAAGAAGCGAAAGUGACGGUACCUGCAGAAGAAGCACCGGCUAACUACGUG